This 218-nucleotide long non-coding RNA is filed under the name Gossypium raimondii (Peruvian cotton). Its description in RNAcentral is "long non-coding RNA (GRAI_LNC005032)". The record is from RNAcentral. Lineage: Eukaryota; Viridiplantae; Streptophyta; Magnoliopsida; Malvales; Malvaceae.
AAUUACUAACAAAAUAAUUUUACAUUACUAAAAACUCACCAAAUACUAAACUAAACACGACAAUUUAUAGCAUAAUCCUAAAUUAAUAAUAAUUUAAUUUUAAAAUAAUUACAAACACAACAAUUUAUAACAUAAUCCUAAAUUACUAACAAAUUAAAUUUAAAAUAAUUAUAAAAAAACAAAAAAAAAUACAUUCAUACAAAAUAUUAACCCAAAAC